GGGUUGUGAGGUUAAGCGACUAAGCGUACACGGUGGAUGCCCUGGCAGUCAGAGGCGAUGAAGGACGUGCUAAUCUGCGAUAAGCGCCGGUAAGGUGAUAUGAACCGUUAUAACCGGCGAUUUCCGAAUGGGGAAACCCAGUGUGACUCGUCACACUAUCAUUAACUGAAUCCAUAGGUUAAUGAGGCGAACCGGGGGAACUGAAACAUCUAAGUACCCCGAGGAAAAGAAAUCAACCGAGAUUCCCCCAGUAGCGGCGAGCGAACGGGGAGGAGCCCAGAGCCUGAAUCAGCAUGUGUGUUAGUGGAAGCGUCUGGAAAGGCGCGCGAUACAGGGUGACAGCCCCGUACACAAAAGCGCAUGUGCUGUGAGCUCGAUGAGUAGGGCGGGACACGUGGUAUCCUGUCUGAAUAUGGGGGGACCAUCCUCCAAGGCUAAAUACUCCUGACUGACCGAUAGUGAACCAGUACC
This 471-nucleotide ribosomal RNA is filed under the name Salmonella enterica subsp. enterica serovar Kentucky. RNAcentral's name for it is "partial 23S ribosomal RNA". It matches the Rfam family "Bacterial large subunit ribosomal RNA", at positions 1 to 502 of the family's 2925-position model. The record is from RNAcentral. Lineage: Bacteria; Pseudomonadati; Pseudomonadota; Gammaproteobacteria; Enterobacterales; Enterobacteriaceae.